UGGCCACUGAGGCUAUCAGAAAAACAAUAACACCAUCUUUCGGGACCGAAUGGCUUUAAAAAGCCUUGCUGACUUUUCUGCAAUUCUGAGGCCU
Small nucleolar RNA from Camellia sinensis, 94 nucleotides. RefSeq annotates it as small nucleolar RNA SNORD96 family. NCBI's taxonomy places the organism in Eukaryota, Viridiplantae, Streptophyta, Magnoliopsida, Ericales, Theaceae. The record is from RefSeq and is a predicted model, not a curated record.